RNAcentral lists this ribosomal RNA (314 nucleotides) under Choricystis sp. ACT 1010. RNAcentral describes it as "SSU rRNA". It matches the Rfam family "Eukaryotic small subunit ribosomal RNA", at positions 592 to 913 of the family's 1831-position model. The record is from RNAcentral. Lineage: Eukaryota; Viridiplantae; Chlorophyta; Trebouxiophyceae.
CAAUAGCGUAUAUUUAAGUUGUUGCAGUUAAAAAGCUCGUAGUUGGAUUUCGGGCGGGGCCUGCCGGUCCGCCUUUGGUGUGCACUGGCAGGGUCCGCCUUGCUGUCGGGGACGGGUUCCUGGGCUUUACUGUCUGGGACUCGGAGUCGACGUGGUUACUUUGAGUAAAUUAGAGUGUUCAAAGCAGGCUUACGCUCUGAAUACAUUAGCAUGGAAUAACGCGAUAGGACUCUGGCCUAUCUUGUUGGUCUGUGGGACCGGAGUAAUGAUUAAGAGGGACAGUCGGGGGCAUUCGUAUUUCAUUGUCAGAGGUG